RNAcentral lists this ribosomal RNA (283 nucleotides) under uncultured bacterium. RNAcentral's name for it is "partial 16S ribosomal RNA". It matches the Rfam family "Bacterial small subunit ribosomal RNA", at positions 1200 to 1504 of the family's 1533-position model. The record is from RNAcentral.
CCUUACGCGUGGGGCUACACACGUGCUACAAUGGUGGUGACAGAGGGAUAAUCCCUAAAAGCCAUCUCAGUUCGGAUUGUCCUCUGCAACUCGAGGGCAUGAAGUUGGAAUCGCUAGUAAUCGCGGAUCAGCAUGCCGCGGUGAAUACGUUCCCGGGCCUUGUACACACCGCCCGUCACACCAUGGGAGUUGGUUCUACCCGAAGGCGCUGCGCUAACCGCAAGGGGGCAGGCGACCACGGUAGGGUCAGCGACUGGGGUGAAGUCGUAACAAGGUAGCCGUA